ACAGUUAUCCUUGCGCAGGUAUUAUUUCGUCUCAUAUUUUGCCGUUUCGAAAUUACUAUUAUGAAUGAUCUCUAAGGUCUUCCUAAAGUGUAGCUGAGUGAAAUAACUAUUGUGCUAUUCGGUGAGGUCAGUAUUUUUAUCGGCCAGGUAGUCUCACGUCAUUAGCAGCUGAGAGAAGCAGACACCACUGAACUGGCAACACUUAGCACUAGUAAGCUGGUAACUCUGGGCAGUCAGCGCCAAGCUACGUAAUCUGGUGUGUAUUGUGUCGAGCGGGACGUUCAUCAAUUUAGCUUCUUCAGUUAUAGCUAAAGCUUGUUGGGGCACUUCAGCUGUUCAGGAAGGAGUGAAUACCAUUGUCAUUCCUGCAUUGCAAAAUCAAGUCUCUGAAACUGAUCAUAGAAUUCAGUGAUGGAUGAUUGUGGGUUUCUCUACGCCUCUCCUGCUGACUCCAUAAAAUGUGAUCCAAAAGAAAGGACCUUGGAUCGCCGGUAGGUGGCUGAGGGCAGGGAGGGAGCGGAGCGGAGCCACACACACCAUCCCCCCCGCGGCCGGCAAGACACUGCUGCAUCCCUGGCAGCCUUCACCCACCCACAGAGUUAGUUCGUGAGGAUUCACCAACGAGUAUGAUUAAGAGCCUGAGCUGAGUGAUGCCUGGGACCUUUUGAGGUUGAGCUCAGCAAUGUUUGCGAGCUCCUUGUGGAUGUCCACGUGCGCCUUCUCCUCAUCCCAGGAGAGAAAACCUGCGGACGAAGAGGCAAGCCGAGAGCAAACGAGUUGGAGACGGCCACACACACAAAGAAAGGUA
Scylla paramamosain (green mud crab) is the source of this 808-nucleotide long non-coding RNA. RefSeq lists it as uncharacterized. NCBI's taxonomy places the organism in Eukaryota, Metazoa, Arthropoda, Malacostraca, Decapoda, Portunidae. The transcript has 6 exons. The record is from RefSeq and is a predicted model, not a curated record.